Molecule: unclassified non-coding RNA, 375 nt
Filed under: soil metagenome
Description: partial contains 5.8S ribosomal RNA, internal transcribed spacer 2, and large subunit ribosomal RNA
Rfam family: 5.8S ribosomal RNA (bases 2-120)
Source: RNAcentral
UAUGAAGAACGUAGCGAAAUGCGAUAAGUAAUGUGAAUUGCAGAAUUCAGUGAAUCAUCGAAUCUUUGAACGCACAUUGCGCCCGCCAGUAUUCUGGCGGGCAUGCCUGUUCGAGCGUCAUUUCAACCCUCAAGACCCCUUCGGGGGACUUGGUGUUGGGGACCGGCACAGGGGCCUGCCUGCUUGUCUUGCAGCGCCCUCGCCGCCCCCGAAAUGAAUUGGCGGCCUCGUCGCGGCCUCCCCUGCGUAGUAGCACAAACCUCGCAACGGGAACGUGACGGCGGCCACUGCCGUAAAACAACCCAAUUUUAUUAGAGUUGACCUCGAAUCAGGUAGGAAUACCCGCUGAACUUAAGCAUAUCAAUAAGCGGAGGA